GAUGAUUUGUUGUCUUUAUGUGUUAUUAGCGGAAAUGUCUUUCCAAGAUAGUGCAUAUCAUUCCAGAAGUGUAUCUCCAUAACUGUGCACUCAUUUUUUAUUUAUUUUUUUGUUGGAUCUCCGGCAGUUUACCUUGGUGGACAUCGUGCGCAAAAUCUGUUGGAGUCGUUCUCAAAGAUGACAGAGGAGAGCGAGGGCUUUGAGGAAGAGUCAAUUCAAUUCAGUUUUAGAGGUGGAUGCUCUGUUUACAAAAAUGAGUGUUGACUUUCUGGUUGUGUCUUUGCAUCUUGUUCAACCCUACCCACCCUCUCUUCGUCAUGAUUGUGAAACUCACAAGGGCUACAACCUCGGCGGCAUGGUUGCAGCGAGAUUGUGUAUUAGGGUUUUGAUAAAGCCCUCGAUUUUAUCCAAUUGCAGAUGACAGAAACCACUCAACUGUCUCAUCACGAUGAGUCUUAAUCAUUUUCCCAACUUAUCCUCCCACUCAUCAGUCCUUUCCCUUCUCCAUACUUCUAAUUCUUAAUCAUUCUUCCCCUCUCCUAUUUCAAUAAUAUUCAUGAUUGCUUUGCUUUUGCACUACCGUCAUUUACUUCUUUUUCCUUUUUGUUUCAACAACUUUUUUUAUUUAACUACAAAAACAAACACUUAUAUUCAAACCUCCUCUUUUUUCAAUCAAGGUACAUGCAAUGUAGAGGAGGUUCUUGAACUGAUAAAAUACAAAUCAUGGAGCUGGUUGCGGGAAAAAAUAAAAGGCUUUGAGGUCUCGUUGUUUGAUUGGACAAUGGACCCUUUCCUUUUCUUAUCUUAUAUCAUGUGAUGCCAUAGGGAAGGGGACCCUCAGGAAAUUGAUCGUAGAGGGAUGAAGGGGGGCUGCGUGGGUAUAUAGGGAUAUGGCUCUAAUGCAAUUGUAUUUUUCCUUUCUGUUGGAAAAAUACUGUAUUAUUUUAUAACUGUGUGUGGAUAUGUCUUGUAAGGAUACUGUUACUUUAGUUUUAAUUUGCUAGCA
This is a long non-coding RNA of Glycine soja, 1006 nucleotides long. RefSeq lists it as uncharacterized. Lineage: Eukaryota; Viridiplantae; Streptophyta; Magnoliopsida; Fabales; Fabaceae. The transcript is spliced from 2 exons. The record is from RefSeq and is a predicted model, not a curated record.